AAGCUCAGUUCAUAGUUACUGUUUGUUAACUGCAACUGAACUGCACGGAGGCUUUGUGCUGGAGAAUUUCUCUAAGAGAUAGGAUGAAACAGUGCCUAGCCCAAAGAAUUCACAGGAGAGGAUGUUUUUCUCAUGCAGGAUCUUACUUUGGCGAUGAAAAAAUAUCCAGGCUUCCUCGUGUCUCAGAAUUACCACCUGAACUGGCAGAAGCACAAAGAGGAGACUGAAGCUGCCCAGAUGCUGAAACUUAAUUAGGGGUGAAUAAAUCAGCCUUGCUUGAAAAGUCAAGAAAAUGCAAUAUUCAA
Molecule: long non-coding RNA, 305 nt
Organism: Parus major (Great Tit)
Lineage: Eukaryota; Metazoa; Chordata; Aves; Passeriformes; Paridae
Exons: 2
Source: RefSeq, a predicted model, not a curated record